This 498-nucleotide ribosomal RNA is filed under the name uncultured bacterium. RNAcentral's name for it is "bacterial SSU rRNA". It matches the Rfam family "Bacterial small subunit ribosomal RNA", at positions 28 to 521 of the family's 1533-position model. The record is from RNAcentral.
GACGAACGCUGGCGGCGUGGAUUAGGCAUGCAAGUCGAACGGUAUCAUCCUUUCGGGGGUGAGAGAGUGGCGAACUGGUGAGUAACACGUAGGUUAUCUACCCUCAAGACGGGGACAACCCAGGGAAACUUGGGCUAAUACCGGAUGUGAGCAACUUUUAGUUGUUUGAAAGGUGGCGUAAGCUGUCGCUUGGGGAUGAGCCUGCGUCCUAUUAGUUAGUUGGUGAGGUAACGGCUCACCUAGGCAAUGAUAGGUAGGCGGCCUUAACGGGUGGUCGCCCACACUGGGAUUGAGAUACGGCCCAGACUCCUACGGGAGCAGCAGUCGAGAAUAGUCUACAAUGGUCGGAAGACUGAUAGUGCGACGCCGCGUGAACGAUGAAUCCCUUCGGGGUUAAAGUUCUUUUAUAUGUGAGCAGUGCUUCUUAUAUUAACAGUAUGGGGAAGAGAUAUUAGCAUAUGAAUAAGCAACGGCUAACUCCGUGCCAGCAGCCGCGGU